This 327-nucleotide ribosomal RNA is filed under the name uncultured eukaryote. Its description in RNAcentral is "partial 18S ribosomal RNA". It matches the Rfam family "Eukaryotic small subunit ribosomal RNA", at positions 1470 to 1796 of the family's 1831-position model. The record is from RNAcentral.
CCCUUAGAUGUUCUGGGCCGCACGCGCGCUACACUGACGAAUGCAACGAGCUUAUAACCUUGGCCGAAAGGUCUGGGUAAUCUCCAAAUUUCGUCGUGAUGGGGAUAGAUUAUUGCAAUUAUUAAUCUUCAACGAGGAAUGCCUAGUAAGCGCAAGUCAUCAGCUUGCGUUGAUUACGUCCCUGCCCUUUGUACACACCGCCCGUCGCUCCUACCGAUUGAAUGGUCCGGUGAAGCGUUCGGACCGUGGCCUUUGGACGGUUCGCCGUCUGUUGGCUGCGGGAAGUUCGUUAAACCUUAUCAUUUAGAGGAAGUAAAAGUCGUANCA